This 482-nucleotide long non-coding RNA is filed under the name Homo sapiens (human). Its description in RNAcentral is "LHRI_LNC547.1". Lineage: Eukaryota; Metazoa; Chordata; Mammalia; Primates; Hominidae. The record is from RNAcentral.
GUGAUGUUGUAACUGUUGUAAUAUUGUAGCACGGUUUGUUUUUAAAAUAAAUUUAGCCUAAGUGUAGGGUGUUCAUAAAGUCUACAGUACUGUACAGUAACGUCCUAGGCCUUUACUUUCACUCACCACUGACUCACCCAGAGCAACUUCCAGUCCUGCAAACUGCAGUCACAUUAAGUGCCUUAUACAGGUGUACCAUUUUUUUUAUCUUUUAAAGAAAUUUUGUAUAAAUUUAUGGGGUACAAGUACAAUUUUGUUACAUCUAUAGGUUGCAUAGUGGUGAAGUCAGAGCUUUUAGUGUAUCCAUCACCCAAGUAACAUAUGUUGUACCUACGUUAUGUUUAGAUACACAAAUACAUAACCGUUGUGUUAGAAUUGCCUACAGUGUUCAGUACAGUAACGGGCUGUACAGGUUUGUAGCCUAGGAACAAUAGGCUAUACCAUGUAGCUAUACCAUCCAGGUUUGCAUACAUAGACUCUAU